Molecule: ribosomal RNA, 505 nt
Filed under: uncultured bacterium
Lineage: Bacteria
Description: partial 16S ribosomal RNA
Rfam family: Bacterial small subunit ribosomal RNA
Source: RNAcentral
GACGAACGCUGGCGGCGUGCCUAAUACAUGCAAGUAGAACGCACAGUUUAUACCGUAGCUUGCUACACCAUAGACUGUGAGUUGCGAACGGGUGAGUAACGCGUAGGUAACCUGCCUGGUAGCGGGGGAUAACUAUUGGAAACGAUAGCUAAUACCGCAUAAUAUUAAUUAUUGCAUGAUAAUUAAUUGAAAGGUGCAAUUGCACCACUACCAGAUGGACCUGCGUUGUAUUAGCUAGUAGGUGAGGUAACGGCUCACCUAGGCGACGAUACAUAGCCGACCUGAGAGGGUGAUCGGCCACACUGAGACUGAGACACGGCCCAGACUCCUACGGGAGGCAGCAGUAGGGAAUCUUCAGCAAUGGACGAGAGUCUGAACGAGCAACGCCGCGUGAGUAAAGAAGGUUUUCGGAUCGUAAAGCUCUGUUGUAAGAGAAGAACGGGUGUGAGAGUGGAAAGUUCACACUGUGACGGUAUCUUACCAGAAAGGGACGGCUAACUACGUG